This 254-nucleotide ribosomal RNA is filed under the name uncultured bacterium. RNAcentral's name for it is "partial 16S ribosomal RNA". It matches the Rfam family "Bacterial small subunit ribosomal RNA", at positions 524 to 776 of the family's 1533-position model. The record is from RNAcentral.
UACGAGAGGCCCAAACGUUAUCCGGAAUCACUGGGUUUAAAGGGUGCGUAGGCGGUGAGAUAAGUCAGUCGUGAAAUCUCUUGGCUUAACCAAUGAAAUUGCGAUUGAUACUGUUUUACUUGAAAGAGGUUGAGGUCAGCGGAAUGUGGCAUGUAGCGGUGAAAUGCAUAGAUAUGCCAUAGAACACCGAUUGCGAAGGCAGCUGGCUGGGCCUACUUUGACGCUGAGGCACGAAAGCGUGGGGAGCAAACAGG